UGUUUGAUGUUCUAACGUGGACCCGUGAUCCGGGUUGCGGACAGUGUCUGGUGGGUAGUUUGACUGGGGCGGUCUCCUCCUAAAGAGUAACGGAGGAGCACGAAGGUUGGCUAAUCCUGGUCGGACAUCAGGAGGUUAGUGCAAUGGCAUAAGCCAGCUUGACUGCGAGCGUGACGGCGCGAGCAGGUGCGAAAGCAGGUCAUAGUGAUCCGGUGGUUCUGAAUGGAAGGGCCAUCGCUCAACGGAUAAAAGGUACUCCGGGGAUAACAGGCUGAUACCGCCCAAGAGUUCAUAUCGACGGCGGUGUUUGGCACCUCGAUGUCGGCUCAUCACAUCCUGGGGCUGAAGUAGGUCCCAAGGGUAUGGCUGUUCGCCAUUUAAAGUGGUACGCGAGCUGGGUUUAGAACGUCGUGAGACAGUUCGGUCCCUAUCUGCCGUGGGCGCUGGAGAACUGAGGGGGGCUGCUCCUAGUACGAGAGGACCGGAGUGGACGCAUCACUGGUGUUCGGGUUGUCAUGCCAAUGGCACUGCCCGGUAGCUAAAUGCGGAAGAGAUAAGUGCUGAAAGCAUCUAAGCACGAAACUUGCCCCGAGAUGAGUUCUCCCUGAGACUUUAGGUCUCCUGAAGGAACGUUGAAGACGACGACGUUGAUAGGCCGGGUGUGUAAGCGCAGCGAUGCGUUGAGCUAACCGGUA
This 695-nucleotide ribosomal RNA is filed under the name Salmonella enterica subsp. enterica serovar Stanley. RNAcentral describes it as "partial 23S ribosomal RNA". It matches the Rfam family "Bacterial large subunit ribosomal RNA", at positions 2211 to 2900 of the family's 2925-position model. Lineage: Bacteria; Pseudomonadati; Pseudomonadota; Gammaproteobacteria; Enterobacterales; Enterobacteriaceae. The record is from RNAcentral.